This 69-nucleotide transfer RNA is filed under the name Sphaerodactylus townsendi. RNAcentral describes it as "tRNA-Ala". It matches the Rfam family "tRNA". Rfam says of the family: Transfer RNA (tRNA) molecules are approximately 80 nucleotides in length. Their secondary structure includes four short double-helical elements and three loops (D, anti-codon, and T loops). The record is from RNAcentral. Lineage: Eukaryota; Metazoa; Chordata; Lepidosauria; Squamata; Sphaerodactylidae.
GCUGUGGCUCAGUGACAGAGUAUCUGUUUUGCAGGCAGAAGGUGCCAGGUUCAAUCCCGACCAUCUCUA